GACGAACCGUGCGAACGUUAUUCGGAAUCACUGGGCUUAAAGCGCGUGUAGGCGGGCCGGCACGUCGGUCGCUGAAAUCCCCCGGCUCAACCGGGGAAGGGGCGCCGAUACGACCGGCCUGGAGGGGCGUAGGGGGACCUGGAACUUCCGGUGGAGCGGUGAAAUGCGUUGAGAUCGGAAGGAACGCCCGUGGCGAAAGCGGCGCUCUGGAACAUUUCUGACGCUGAGGCUCGAAAGCGUGGGGAGCAAACAGG
RNAcentral lists this ribosomal RNA (254 nucleotides) under uncultured bacterium. Its description in RNAcentral is "partial 16S ribosomal RNA". It matches the Rfam family "Bacterial small subunit ribosomal RNA", at positions 524 to 776 of the family's 1533-position model. The record is from RNAcentral.